Molecule: ribosomal RNA, 465 nt
Filed under: Vreelandella stevensii
Lineage: Bacteria; Pseudomonadati; Pseudomonadota; Gammaproteobacteria; Oceanospirillales; Halomonadaceae
Description: partial 16S ribosomal RNA
Rfam family: Bacterial small subunit ribosomal RNA
Source: RNAcentral
CCUACGGGAGGCAGCAGUGGCGAAUAUUGGACAAUGGGCGAAAGCCUGAUCCAGCCAUGCCGCGUGUGUGAAGAAGGCCUUCGGGUUGUAAAGCACUUUCAGUGGGGAAGAAAGCCUUGGGGCUAAUACCCUCGAGGAAGGACAUCACCCACAGAAGAAGCACCGGCUAACUCCGUGCCAGCAGCCGCGGUAAUACGGAGGGUGCGAGCGUUAAUCGGAAUUACUGGGCGUAAAGCGCGCGUAGGCGGUCUGAUAAGCCGGUUGUGAAAGCCCCGGGCUCAACCUGGGAACGGCAUCCGGAACUGUCAGGCUAGAGUGCAGGAGAGGAAGGUAGAAUUCCCGGUGUAGCGGUGAAAUGCGUAGAGAUCGGGAGGAAUACCAGUGGCGAAGGCGGCCUUCUGGACUGACACUGACGCUGAGGUGCGAAAGCGUGGGUAGCAAACAGGAUUAGAUACCCGGGUAGUC